RNAcentral lists this ribosomal RNA (914 nucleotides) under Serratia sp. Wu R1. Its description in RNAcentral is "bacterial SSU rRNA". It matches the Rfam family "Bacterial small subunit ribosomal RNA", at positions 30 to 930 of the family's 1533-position model. The record is from RNAcentral. Lineage: Bacteria; Pseudomonadati; Pseudomonadota; Gammaproteobacteria; Enterobacterales; Yersiniaceae.
UGGGCACCGGGGCGAACGGGCUUACACAUGCAAGUCGAGCGGUAGCACAGGGGAGCUUGCUCNCUGGGUGACGAGCGGCGGACGGGUGAGUAAUGUCUGGGAAACUGCCUGAUGGAGGGGGAUAACUACUGGAAACGGUAGCUAAUACCGCAUAACGUCGCAAGACCAAAGAGGGGGACCUUCGGGCCUCUUGCCAUCAGAUGUGCCCAGAUGGGAUUAGCUAGUAGGUGGGGUAAUGGCUCACCUAGGCGACGAUCCCUAGCUGGUCUGAGAGGAUGACCAGCCACACUGGAACUGAGACACGGUCCAGACUCCUACGGGAGGCAGCAGUGGGGAAUAUUGCACAAUGGGCGCAAGCCUGAUGCAGCCAUGCCGCGUGUGUGAAGAAGGCCUUCGGGUUGUAAAGCACUUUCAGNGAGGAGGAAGGUGGUGANCUUAAUACGNUCAUCAAUUGACGUUACUCGCAGAAGAAGCACCGGCUAACUCCGUGCCAGCAGCCGCGGUAAUACGGAGGGUGCAAGCGUUAAUCGGAAUUACUGGGCGUAAAGCGCACGCAGGCGGUUUGUUAAGUCAGAUGUGAAAUCCCCGGGCUCAACCUGGGAACUGCAUUUGAAACUGGCAAGCUAGAGUCUCGUAGAGGGGGGUAGAAUUCCAGGUGUAGCGGUGAAAUGCGUAGAGAUCUGGAGGAAUACCGGUGGCGAAGGCGGCCCCCUGGACGAAGACUGACGCUCAGGUGCGAAAGCGUGGGGGAGCAAACAGGAUUAGAUACCCUGGUAGUCCACGCUGUAAACGAUGUCGAUUUGGAGGUUGUGCCCUUGAGGCGUGGCUUCCGGAGCUAACGCGUUAAAUCGACCGCCUGGGGAGUACGGCCGCAAGGUUAAAACUCAAAUGAAUUGACGGGGGCCCGCACAAUC